UACGUAGGGGGCAAGCGUUGUCCGGAUUUAUUGGGCGUAAAAGGCUUGUAGGUGGCCACGCCAAGUCGGAUGUGAAAUCUCCCGGCUCAACUGGGAGGGGUCAUUCGAUACUGGCGGGCUCGAGGCCGGUAGGGGGAAGUGGAAUUCCCGGUGUAGUGGUGGAAUGCGUAGAUAUCGGGAGGAACACCAGUGGCGAAGGCGGCUUCCUGGACGGUUCUGACACUGAGGAGCGAAAGCGGUGGGGAGCGAUCCGG
This 254-nucleotide ribosomal RNA is filed under the name uncultured bacterium. Its description in RNAcentral is "partial 16S ribosomal RNA". It matches the Rfam family "Bacterial small subunit ribosomal RNA", at positions 524 to 776 of the family's 1533-position model. The record is from RNAcentral.